This 430-nucleotide unclassified non-coding RNA is filed under the name soil metagenome. Its description in RNAcentral is "partial contains 5.8S ribosomal RNA, internal transcribed spacer 2, and large subunit ribosomal RNA". The stretch from base 1 to 120 matches the Rfam family "5.8S ribosomal RNA", at positions 35 to 154 of the family's 154-position model. The record is from RNAcentral.
GAUGAAGAACGCAGCGAAAUGCGAUACGUAAUGUGAAUUGCAGAAUUCAGUGAAUCAUCGAAUCUUUGAACGCAUAUUGCGCUCUCUGGUAUUCCGGAGAGCAUGCUUGUUUGAGUAUCAGUAAACACCUCAACUCCCUUUUCUUUUUUGAAAUUGGAGCUGGACUUGAGUGAUCCCAACGCUUUCUUCCAAGAAAGUGGCGGGUUGCUUGAAAUGCAGGUGCAGCUGAACUUUUCUCUGAGCUAUAAGCAUAUCUAUUUAGUCUGCCUAAAAAACAGAUUAUUACCUUUGCUGCAGCUAACAUAAAGGAGACUAGUUCUUGUGCUGACUGAUGCAGGAUUCACAGAGACAGCUUCGGCUGACUUUGUAAACUCGAUCUCAAAUCAAGAAAGACUACCCGCUGAACUUAAGCAUAUCAAUAAGCGGAGGA